Molecule: ribosomal RNA, 497 nt
Filed under: uncultured bacterium
Lineage: Bacteria
Description: partial 16S ribosomal RNA
Rfam family: Bacterial small subunit ribosomal RNA
Source: RNAcentral
GAUGAACGCUGGCGGCGUGCCUAAUACAUGCAAGUCGAGCGAACAGACGAGGAGCUUGCUCCUCUGACGUUAGCGGCGGACGGGUGAGUAACACGUGGAUAACCUACCUAUAAGACUGGGAUAACUUCGGGAAACCGGAGCUAAUACCGGAUAACAUGUUGAACCGCAUGGUUCAACAGUGAAAGACGGUCUUGCUGUCACUUAUAGAUGGAUCCGCGCCGCAUUAGCUAGUUGGUAAGGUAACGGCUUACCAAGGGAACGAUGCGUAGCCGACCUGAGAGGGUGAUCGGCCACACUGGAACUGAGACACGGUCCAGACUCCUACGGGAGGCAGCAGUAGGGAAUCUUCCGCAAUGGGCGAAAGCCUGACGGAGCAACGCCGCGUGAGUGAAGAAGGUCUUCGGAUCGUAAAACUCUGUUAUUAGGGAAGAACAACUGUGUAAGUAACUAUGCACGUCUUGACGGUACCUAAUCAGAAAGCCACGGCUAACUACGUG